AAGAGGAUGAAAAACUGCUGCUGACUC
Molecule: non-coding RNA, 27 nt
Filed under: Bombyx mori (domestic silkworm)
Lineage: Eukaryota; Metazoa; Arthropoda; Insecta; Lepidoptera; Bombycidae
Source: RNAcentral